RNAcentral lists this ribosomal RNA (865 nucleotides) under uncultured bacterium. Its description in RNAcentral is "bacterial SSU rRNA". It matches the Rfam family "Bacterial small subunit ribosomal RNA", at positions 630 to 1504 of the family's 1533-position model. The record is from RNAcentral.
AAACUGGUUUCCUUGAGUGUGGAUGAGGUAGGCGGAAUUUGUGGGUGUAGCGGUGAAAUGCAUAGAUAUCACGAGGAACUCCCGAUUGCGCAGGCAGCUUACUAAACCAUAACUGACGCUCAAGCACGAAGGCGUGGGGAUCAAACAGGAUUAGAUACCCUGGUAGUCCACGCAGUAAACGAUGAUUACUGGCUGUUUGCGAUAUAAUGUAAGCGGCUGAGCGAAAGCGUUAAGUAAUCCACCUGGGGAGUACGUUCGCAAGAAUGAAACUCAAAGGAAUUGACGGGGGCCCGCACAAGCGGAGGAACAUGUGGUUUAAUUCGAUGAUACGCGAGGAACCUUACCCGGGCUUGAAAUGCGUCUGACAGUCGGAGAGAUCCGAUCUCCCUUCGGGGCAGACGUGUAGGUGCUGCAUGGUUGUCGUCAGCUCGUGCCGUGAGGUGUCGGCUUAAGUGCCAUAACGAGCGCAACCCUCAUCGUUAGUUGCCAUCAGGUAGUGCUGGGGACUCUAACGAGACUGCCAUCGUAAGAUGCGAGGAAGGUGGGGAUGACGUCAAAUCAGCACGGCCCUUACGUCCGGGGCGACACACGUGUUACAAUGGGUGGUACAAAGGGCAGCUACAUGGCGACAUGGUGCCAAUCCCCAAAACCACUCUCAGUUCGGAUCGGAGUCUGCAACUCGACUCCGUGAAGCUGGAUUCGCUAGUAAUCGCGCAUCAGCCACGGCGCGGUGAAUACGUUCCCGGGCCUUGUACACACCGCCCGUCAAGCCAUGGAAGCUGGGGGUGCCUGAAGUCCGUAACCGUUGAGGAGCGGCCUAGGGUAAAACCGGUGACUGGGGCUAAGUCGUAACAAGGUAACCGUA